Molecule: long non-coding RNA, 19271 nt
Filed under: Sorghum bicolor (sorghum)
Lineage: Eukaryota; Viridiplantae; Streptophyta; Magnoliopsida; Poales; Poaceae
Description: long non-coding RNA (SBIC_LNC005412)
Rfam family: MIR5565 microRNA precursor family (bases 8626-8734)
Source: RNAcentral
UGCCAGUGCGUAAAAAUGCGCGCUUAUGGUCCUUGGCAUCGCCGCGCGUAAUCUCUCUCUGAGCGACUGACAAGGCAUGUCGCCCUGACAAGCUGUUGCUGCUGGCGUCGCCUGCUGCUUCUGGGCGUCGCCUGCUGCUGCUGCUGGUGGUGGUGGUGGUCCGCAUCACCGCCUGUUGCUGCUGCUCCAUGCUACUAGUCCGGCUCCUCUGCUGAAAGGACAUGAAAGUUGUCUGGUCUUCCUCGUGAACUAUGAUUACAAGGUCAAAAUCAACCGCACCAUACUCAUCUAUUGGCAAGUUCAAAUCAAACCCUAUCCAAAAAGGAAACAGAAAAAUAAGGAAAGAUGGACCUAGCUUGAAGCAAACAACAAAAUCAAACAAGGAGACACAUUACCGUAAUCAUCUUCUUCUAAGCCAACGUUCAGAUCAAAUAUGUUAUUAUCAUCUUCUAAGCGAACAUUCAAAUCUUGGAUCAGCCAACAUUGCAUGCGGUACAUGCAAAGAGAAGAGAGGGAAGUGCGGAGAUGAAGUACGAUUAUGGAAAGAGAAGAGGUUGAGGAGAGACUGCAUAUUAAUAGCCACGGUGGAACUCAAACGACGAAGUAAUAGAGCGCUAAAUUUGGAAUAUAGUGGCGCCACUGCAAAAAAGCAUUUGCCUAUGAAAACAAAGCGAAAACAUGGCCAAAUGUGCAAAUCCCGCGCCAUGCAGCCUGUACCAGGUAACAAAAAGCCAUGAUGCACUAGCCAUCUGGACUAGAGAACUUUCUCGUAUACAACACACCCACAACCCUAUUUUAUAGGGGUAUAUAUGAAAAAUACUAUGUCUCCUUGGUAACCAUAAUCUUAUCCUAAACGCUAUUUAAUCAAGGUAUGGACGAUAUGUGUUGGAGGCAGAUAUAGCGCGUGCAUACUCGGAAGCAUGCGAUCCCAGCCCUGCACACGAGAACCCCAUGUGAUCCACUUCCCCAUGUAGUAGACCAGUGCAUGCACCCCGACAAGCGAUGGGCCUUGUUCGUUUGACUGAUAAGUCAUGACAGAAAGUAUUGGUGGCUGAUUUGUUGUGAGAGAAAAACACUGCUGAAUGGUCGUUGCCUGCGUGUGCUCCAAGCAGCAUACAAACCAAGAAAAAAUAAAAAUACUUCCUAUUUUAUUUGAAUUGCUAUAGAUUUAGAUGGUGUAUCUAUUUUUAAUUCCGUAUGUAUCAUCACGUUCUACGUAAUGAAACAAACAAAAGUAGACCUAUCACUUGUCUAUAUCUCAAAAAAAUUAUUUUAGUAAUAAUUUAUAUAUAAAUAUGUGUUAGGAGAUUUAUCAAAAGAAUUAUUACAAUAUAAUAUUAAAGUUGUUACUGAAAAUAUAAUGAUUUUUUUAUAUAACAUAUGCAUAUCGAUUGUUAUCGGAGGAAUAUAAUAAAAUUGUUAUAUAGUAUUUACAUAAAGAUAGUAAAAAAUUAUUAAAGGGAAUAGCGGUCUAGAACAAGUCAAGUUGCUAUUUGAAGGUGCAAAUUAUUAAAAUAAGCAUUAUGUAAGCUGUCAACUAGGGACAAGUUAUUGUACAACAUAUUAUAAAAGUCACGAAACAUAACUUGCUGCCAACUAGAGACAUUUAUUGAAAAGCAAGGGUAGCGAUAAAAAAAAAGACAAGUUGUAAUCUGAGGGUAAAUUAAUAGAACCAACAUUGCGUAAGCUGCCAACUAGAGGCAAGUUAUUAUAUAACUUACAAAGUUGUAGUAAGUUAUAUAAUAGUUAUAAAGUUGUAGCAAGUUAUAUUUAUUGUGUGCGGCAAGUCUAAUUACAAAGUUGUAGCUAGUUAUAUUAUAUUUAUUGUGUGUGGCAAGUUUAAUUACAAAGUUAUAUCAAAUUAUAUUUAUUUGUGUGAUAAAUAGAAACUAAAACACUGAAAUAGGUACCAAAAUAAUAAAAACAAAAAAAUAGACCGAAUCUUUGAAAUAGAAAAUGAAACAUUGAAAUAGCUACCAGAUAAUGAAACUGAAAAAUGAAAUAGCUACCAAAAAAUUAAAAAUGAAAAACUAAAACUAAAACAAUAAGAUUGAAUCCUUAAAACAAAAUAAAAAACUGAAAAAACUGAAAUUACUAAUUGAAGUUGUAGACUGAAAUUGCUAACUAAAAUAACAAACUGAUUAAGAACUGAAAUGGCAAAAUGAAAAUAGAAACUGAAAUUACUAAUUGAAAUCUAUAUACCAUCGAUCACGUGUUGUAUGUCUAAUUCUUUCCAGUAUAGCAAAUACUUAAAAAAAAUAGACAUCUUCUUGAAUAUGUCCCCUUCUGAUGCCUUGACAUCCUUUAUUUUCUUUUCAUCUUUGGUCUUCUUCCCAAAAACAAAUGUGACUUUGCUGACUACAAAUUGAACUUUUCAAACUAAGUCACAUGAAAAGAGAAAUGUAUGUUGUAAAUCGUGAUGAGUUUUACAACUUUGAUGUUUACAACAUUUUUAUUUUAGGCCUUUUUGUCUUAAAAUUCAAUUCGAAGUUCACAUCUUGUCCAAAAAAACAAAGUUCACAAAUUCAAAAUUUUUAAGUAUAUUUGUGUAAAAAAUGUAUAUCAGCAAGUUGUUUUUAUGUGUACGGGCAAAUAUAUCAAAUUAUUUUUAACACAUUUAUAAAAAUUAUGCAAAACUAAAGAGAACAAAAAGAACACUAGUCGUUCACUGUACUGCAAUUUUAGUGGCAACAGUAGUGCUCCCGUGUGUGUGUAUAUAUAUAUAUAUACACGACAGCGCUAUUCUACACCCUAGGUGUAGAAUAUUAUUCUACACCGCAAGUCAAAACUGAGUAGUACUGAACAACGUUCAGUAUCAUUCAGUGGUACACCCAGGACCACGAAUAACCCUGGGCAAAUUACCCGAUACCCAUUACCCGUAUCCGAAUUACCCGGAUCCGAACCCGAAUUACCCGAACCCGAGGUACCCGAUCCUAAAUUCGGAUAGCGAUUUUGAUUACCCGAAAUUAGUUUGGGUAAUUCGGGUAAUAUCUCCCGGUACCCGAACUACCCGAACUACCCGAAUUACCCGAAUAUUUGUCUUUAUCUUUAUAUAUAUCAUGUGUUGUUAGCUAAAUAUUAGAACUUAUCAAUUUAAUAGAACAUAAUUCUCUUUGUUUGAACAAGUGCUAGUAAUAUAUUAUUCUCUACAAAAUGCUAUUGAAAUUAUAUAUAAAUUGCUGCUGAAAUUAUAUAUAAAUUGCUAUUGAACUUUUGUGUAGUGUGUUGUUUUUUGAAAAUUCGGGUAAAUCGGGAAUACCCGAACCCGAACCCGAAUUAUCGGGUACCUGAAAUUGCGGGUAGUGUCUUUUCGGGACUAAUAUCGGGUAACAAUUUUUAUUACCCGAAUUUUGAAUUACCCGACCCGAAAAAAUCGGGUAACCCGAAUGCCCAGGCUUAACCACGAAAUACUGAACAAUACUGAAACAUGACUACUCAACAAAUACUGAAUUCUGUUCAGUAUAACAGUUUGGUGUAGAAUAGUAUUCUACACCUAGGGUAUAACGGGAUCGGACAUGUGACACCUAGGAUAUAUAUAGUAUUCUGUUCAGUAUAACAAAUAUAUAUUCUAUUCCUAGCCGAUCGGACAUGUGACACAUAUUUGCCUAUUUUCUUGAGGAUAUACGAAUGUCUAUGUCAACACUGCAUUUUUGUAAGGUCCAUGUCUAUGGGAUCUAAAUGGUAUAACGCGAGGUACUUUUACAACUAAUAACUUGGGCGGUUUGUCCAUAAACAUUUAAUCACUAUACUUCACUAGUUGUUGUUGUUUUUCCCCUACGGAAAAAGGUGACCUUGUGAAACGUGGUAUUAUGCCUUUGAAGGAUGGUCGCGUCUAUAAUAUGGCACAUUAUAAAGUCAUUGCAUUCACAUGCCUAAUCGAAGAACCCUGGAUCAGUAACUUGACAGAUUGACCAUUGACCUCUUGUGGUUUUCCAGGCAUAAUGGUGACCUUGUCAAUCCUGAUGACAAAUAAAUAGAUUACAGCCCUAAAUUGAACGAUACGUCUAGUAGAUUACUUUUCAUGUUUCACAUUCACUCUUAAAAGUUAACUACAUUUGAUUCAUUUUUUGUUUUGUGAGCAUAUAACACUGCAUAUUAGGCUUCACUAUCAUAUUGUUUGUCUAUUUUACAGCAUAAAUGCUCAAGCAAGGUUGUGACAACUGACAGCCAAGGCAUAGAUCAGCGUUACGCAAAAGAAAUGGAAAGAAACAUGCUGCUUUGGCCAAGAUAUUCUUCGAUCCUUGAUCCAUGCGUGCACUAAAAUUACACACUAAUUUGACGAGAACAAAGCACAUUGAUAGCAGCGAGUAGAGAAACUUGAUCGUGCUACUCCUAGUUAGUUAAUAACGGUAUCUAAAACUAGGAGUCAUAGCAAGCGAAGGUUGCAUCAUAUUCAUAUCAACAAGUGGCGAUUCAUCUUUAAGAAUUCAGAAUGCACAUAUCCCCUUGAGAUGCUUUCAGAUCCAUCAGUCACAAUGCUCAAAAUCAGCAGCAUGUUCAACCAUUAGUGGACGAUAACAAGAUCAGUUCGGAUGGCCUAAGACCACAUAGAACAAUAGCAGUCGGUCCAGGGCAAUGCCCCUGUGGACACUAUCACUGAAAGGUUCACAUGGUUCAUGGCAUCCACAGAAUCAACAGAUAGAAAAAAGGACGUCUGAUUACGCACAACCUUUGGCCCAAAUGUACCAUUUGUACACCUUCGAUUCCAAUACCUGACAGCCUCCAAGUCAUUGGAUCUAGACAAAUCUAGUCUUGCCACCCUUGUCAUGCUUCUUCACCUGUUAUCAAUUACAAUAAUGUCAAGCUUCCAUGGAGGAAUAGCAAUGAUGAUAAAUAUGGACUAUAUCAUGAUUGCGGGUGCAGGAAGCAAGUGCCUGCUUACCACUUUGAAUGUUGACUGCAGCUUGCUUAGCUCGACGGGGCAUUCUCCCUUCUCAUCAUACUCAGAAAAUUCACCUUCAGAGCAGUCAAUUUCGAAAGGAGUCCCAUGCACCUUAAAAAAGAUGGCAAACUGUUAGCACAUCACACAAAUGAAAACUAAACAAUUGUGAGAGUACAUGCAGAACUAGCAAUAAACUAAAUUCCGCUAAAAGAUGGUUUAAAAGCAAACUCCCAAUUGUUGAAAAGGUGAAACUUUCUAGAUUUGGAAAAAGCAAUUUAAAACAAUAGACUUGUUACUGUGAAAGAAAUAAAAAACAUUUCAUUUCUUCUUGGAGAGAGAAGACAGCCAAUCAGUGUGUGGACUAUGAACAUAAAGAAUUGGUGUGUCCACUUAAAGAACAAGUACAUUUGUAGGUCAGAUGCCAUACAAGCUAUAAACACAUGGGAAACCCUAUGCCACUUCAAAAUAAAAGCACAUAUACACUUCUAUGCUUAAGUAAUGCACAAUGUGAAAACAGAUACAAACACAUGGGAAACCUUAUGCCACUUCAAAAUAAAGCACAUAUACACUUCUAUGCUUAAGUAAUGCACAAUGUGAAAAUAGAUAACUGUAAUAUACACUUGUGUUAAGUAAUGAUGUGAGAACAAAUAAUUGAAACAGAGUUAUGCCAUACAUGGAAAAUGGAGUACUGAAUAUAACAAACCAAGCACACAGAAAUGACAUAAUAAGGUGAGAUCACAUAGAAUAGAAUACCAGAAAGAGCUCAUUUCUAGAUUGAGUGAAUAACUUUGAAAAUAUUAAUUAUUUACAACUAAUGUGUUGGUUUUGUAUAUGUAAGCAGUCAUUAACAUUCAUGAUAUAAGAUCAAGAAAAAACAUACAGAUUCAGCUUUCCAGCCAGCGCCAAAAGAAAACUCAACAGGUUCAUAGCCUCUGCAGUCAAACACCAUCAAACAAGUCUUCUCUUCUUUCUGGCUCUGCUCAAUAGUAAGUGGCGUCCCCUGACCAGGAAUCAUCACAAUUGUUCCAUCUCUCCCACAAAGCUUGCACUGAGAGAAGACAAACACAUCAUACACAGGAGGACAUCAGGACAUACCUUAUAUGGUACAACAAAAUAUACAAAGUCGAUACACUAUUACUGAAACAGUUUGUUUUCUCCUUUACGCCUUUAACAACCUCAUGGAAAAAUUAAACAAAGAACCUAAGAAUAUGGAUUGAAACAAGUUUUUCCUCCUUUAUGCCUUUGUUAGAAACCUCAAGGAAAAAAUUCAGAUAAAGAACCUCGAGAUACCAAAUUGAUUAUUGGACAGAAAGUCAUUCAGAAAGUUGUUACCGCUAAUCAACUAAUGAUGUGGAUUGCUAGAAUAAAUAGGCUAUUUUGAACAAAAAAGUAAGGAUCCUACAUAUACUGUCAAGGCACAAGAUAAGAAAUUCUUAAGCUUCCAGGUCCAAAAUGGCAUUAUGAGGUCUGGCACAUAUUAUGUGCAUACAUAACUACAGCAAUAGAAAGGUGCACAGUACCACGAAAGAGUGCUGAAACUAGUUGUUUGCAUUUGAUCAGUAAAUAAUAUAAAAUAAUUGGAAAAUUGAAAUUGGAAAAAAGUUCUUUUAGCCUUAAAAAUGGGACCAUUUACAUCCGGUCACAUUGGAUGUCCAUAGUCUUUACACACAAUAAAAGUUUUAUGCAAAACGUUCAUGGUAGUACAUAUUCAUCUUGAUGCCAUAUGAUAAACCUCAAGUAAGGAGACAUAACAAUCAUAUUCAUAUAUAUAAGUGCACAACACAGAGAUGAUAAGACAUAAUUAUUGACUUCUUACACUUAAUUUAGGUAGAACAGAAAACUAUUUUUCUACCAUGGAUAUAAGGAAGACAAUAGUACAGAACAUGAGCAUAAUAGACAAAAUAACUGCAUUAGAUGCCUACACAAGGUCAAAAUGGAUAGUGAGGUGUUUUCCCAUCAUGAGUAGUGGCAAAGGCACCUUGUUUCCUAUGGUUAAAUGGUGGACACUAGACUUUUGCAUCAUAAGAUUUUUUAAGUGUAGAAUAUUUAAAUAAAGGUAGAAAGAACCUCAUGGCGGAUUAAUAAACUAUAUUAUCACAAAAGAACCAACAAUGGAAAAAUCAUCACCCUGCCAAUGAUCACAAUUCAGAAGACAACAAAUCAUAUUAACAAAAAAGAAACCCCAUUACUUGUGAAUUCAAAAGCAUAUAUUAUAUUUUCAUGGGCAACCUAGUUUGCAAAAUAGCAUGACCCUUGAGAAGGAACAAAUGAACAAUCCUCUGUUGUUACCUUUUUACGCAAAUAUGACUCCCAUCCACCCAAUUCAAUCCCCAUUUUAAUAAUGAAAUCAGCACUCCUCAUAGAAUCCAAUCCCAGCCUACUAAAUAAAUAACAUAAAAGAAGGAAAUCCAGAAGAGUAAAGGAAUCUCAACGAACUACAUCAUCAGUCAUCUCAUUUGCUGUCCUCGUACAAUGCAAGUUCAUCAAACAACCGAAUAAAAAGUCAGCUGAUAUCGAUUAUCAUCAGCAACACUAACAACCACUGCGUAUUCAUCAAUCAUACAAAAAGCACAGGAAAACCACCUUUCCUCUAAAAAAAUGCAUUUCUUGCUCACUUAAAACAAUAUUAUACUUAGAACACUAAACAGAGUUUACCAUUGUAUACAAAUAUAACUCCCCACACCCAACUUUACUUUUAACCAUGGAAAGAAAAAUUGUUCACCAAAUCCAUUCUAAACAAAGGCAAAUGGAUGUAUGCAGAAAUGAGCCUCCAUCUACCACAGCAAUAAAAGUGUCUCGUACUAAACAUCUAAACUAGCAGCCCCUUAUAGACAUACUAACAAGCUGAUUGAUCCAUCUUCCAUACUAACAAACACUCCUUCCUCACAGGCCAGUCUCAUCAAGCAUACCAACAUCACUGCAGAGGGAAGCCGAAUCCAUCCGGCCACAGAGGUAUGCGGAGGAGGAAGGUGAUGUUUGCAAGGGUACCUUCUGGACGAGGUGAGCGGUGCCGUGUCCUUUGGGCAGGUCGACUUGCUCGCUGAGGGUGACGUAGGUGGACUUGGCGGUGACCUCCCCGCAGUUCUCGCACUUGAGCUGCGAUCCGGCACAGAGAAACGAGCGAGCAAACCCCGAUCAGCGCCUUGCGCGAUCGAUAUGAGGGGAACCGGUAGUCCGGAGCCGAUCGAGCCAAAGGAGAAGAAGGGAAUGGGGACACGGACCUUGAGGUAGUAGGGGAAGUUGGGGUCGUCGCAGCCGCGGCGGGGCUGCAGGUUGGUGAGGCCGUCCAGCUCCGCGCCCACCAACAGCGCGUAGUACACCAUCUCCGCCGCCGCCUGCUUGCUAGGGUUAGGGCUCCGGGAUCCGGCUUUGGUCCGACGCCGACAACGGAGACGACGAGGAGGGAGGGGAAUGGGGGUUUUGGCUUCGCUUCGCUUCGCCUCGCGGCGUUAGGAACGGAAUACUACGGAGGAGGACGAAAGAGUGCUUGUGCUGUGCGCUGCCGUCACCGUUUGGACGAGAAUGACCCUAGAGUUCGCGCGUGGAUUGCGGGACCUGGGAGGGUAAUUUAGUCAUUAGAUACUGGCUGAGUGGCCCCUGGGGCCUGCGACUGCGAAUCAGAUUCGACGGGAUUUCCAACUCCUACGGCCCGUUUCGUUGGGCAGAAAUUCUGAUUCGACGGGAUUUCCAACUCCUACGGCCCGUUUCGUUGGGCAGAAAUUCAUUUUAGGCUUUGUUUGGAUGUAGUUGGAUUCGCAUCAAUCCACAUGUAUUGGGGUGGAUUGGAGUGGAACUUGAACUAAAUUCCACCCCAAUCCACUCCAACACAUGUGGAUUGAGGUGAAUCCGACAACAUCCAAACAAGGCCUUAGUUUAGUUGAAUGUAGUCGGAUUCGCAUCAAUCCAUAUGUGUUAUACUAAUCUACUUCAAUACAUGUGGAUUCAGAUGAAUCCAACAACAUCUAAACAAGGCUUCGUAAACAAAUCAGUAUUCAUAAACCAAACACGAGCUCACCCAGUUCACUUGUUAAGCCGUACUUUCUCGGUAGCCAACAAUAUUUUUCUCUCAUAACAAAUAAGUGAAUAAUAUUUUUAACUAUAAUUUUUUAGAUCAGCAAACACACCAAGAGUCCUUCUGACUUUUGAAUUUUGAUUUUUUAUGAUGCUAGGUUCGAGCAAAAAGCUCCUGUCCUAGCGAUUAGCGAAGCGACGGAAACAAAAACAAGCAGGAAUCCAGCCGUCCACUAUGAACAAAAAUGGGCAUGGGAGGACAACGCAGUAAGCGCAUGGUAUGGCAAUGAAAUCUUGACGCAACGGCUAUUAUGGAAAUCAUCUUGUAUCAGUCAUGACAGCAUCCCAACCGUCCGUUUUGCAUAAUUUGUUUGGCAAAUGAGGAAGUUUAUCAUUAAUCACUUGGCAAAAAAGAAAAUUAUGGACCCACACAAUUUUUUUGCCGAGCUUUUAUCCUCCCUGCGCGUCGGGUGAAUAUUCGCGGCAAAUUUAUUUUGCCGAGGCGCUAAGGCCGCGGCGUUUGUGCAUAGCCGCUCGGAGUUUGGUAGCUGGAGUCUUUGCUAGCAAAAACGAUCCGAAGAGCAUCGAUGGAGUACCUGGCGUUGAUGGAAGACCGAUAGGCAAAACACAAACAAUUGAGAGGGCAUCGAUGGAGUACCUGGCGUUGAUGGAAGAUCGAUAGGCAGUUCGCAUGAAAGUCUGGCGGCGGGAUGUCGCUAAACUCGCGCGACCUCAACCUGUAGCCGCGCACGGACUUCGCGCCAGUUUCCCAAUACCAAGUGUGAACAUGUUUGGCAUAUAUGUCAAUCAUUCCUCUCUUUUUGCCAAGUUAACAAAAUUGCAAACUUCAAAUACCAAACCGUCAGAUAGGUGUUUUUAAGACUUUUUUUUGCAAAUACAUGAAUGCAAAGCCUAUUUGCAAAACGGUUGGAUGCUCUUAUGCAGCCCAGAUGGCCAGAUAACACCAAGGAUGAACCAAACUUCCAGAAACUUGAGGAUCGUAAAUCCAAUGGACCUUCCAACAAACGAAACGAAAACAAAUCUUCUGGCAUGGUUUGGCCACUCUAACAGAGCAUCUUCCAGGGCUGCACUGCGCACAGUCGAAUCCUAAAUUCUGAUGCUCCAUCAAAGCAAUCAAACAAAGCAUCAACUAAGCAUAUAAUAGUGGAUCACAUAGAAGCUAAUACCACGGUGACGCAGAAGGUGAAAUGCUUGGGCACCAUCAAAUCACUCUCUACCUUGUCCCACUGUGCUACAUUUCAGCUAAAGAUAUGAAAUGCUUGCGAUCGCAAUUUAUGACACAUUAGCAUCUGAUGAAAUACCAUCAAGAACAUCAUUUUCACGCCGUAAGCAACACCAUCCUAAACGCUGUCUCCAUAUAACUAACCAUUUGGACACCAUUUCUGACUGGUGGAACUAAGCAAGAGAGCAACACAACACAAAAAUCAGAUCAAGAGUGAAGUUCACAGUAAUUCACAUAGUAAGUGUGUGUCUAUCAGCUCCGAAAGCACACUCUCAUGAAAGGGCAAAGAUCAAACUUCAUUGAAUAAGUCAUAAGUGAACACCACCACCAUCCAAGUCUUAUGUUCAAUGAUUUUGAGCUAAAACCUAAUCAGCCAUAACAUGAUAAGAAUAAGAAGACACAGUGCAACUCGUCUGAGCUUGCAAACAGCCAACUAUAUGUGCUAGAAUAAGCUCUAUCCAUAGGCACGCUGCUAGAGGGGGCCAAGAUGGCCAGAUCACAGUUCCAACAGGCAAAAUCUUAUCGCCGAUGAGCUGCACUCCAGUCACGAUCGCAAAUUCGCAAUAAACUAGACCGAAAGUUGGCAUAGAUUUUGUAAUAAGGUGUUGUAUCAAUCAACCCAUCAGAAGCAAAAUAAGUCCCAUACUCCCAUCCUGUUCUGCUCACAUCAGUUGGGGCGGCCUGCACGGAGGGACCGGAGGCGGUCGAGCCACUGGUCCUCGGGGACGCUGCCCGCCCACGCCGGCGGCGCGCCGGGGAACUCGACGCCGCGCAUCGCGUCCACGAUCCGCGCCGCGGCUCCCGCGGGCAGCGGGGCGCGGCGGCGACGCUCGUCCUCGGAGAAGGCCCGCGCCGCCGCCUCCCCGGGCCGCAGGUCUCCGUCCUCAUCCUCCGCCUCCGCGUCUUCCGCGGCUUCGUCCUCGUCGGACACGAGAUCCAGCGCGGAGAUGCCGUUUCCUGCCUCGUCGAGGCGGUGGUGGGGCACGGCGGCGUCGAGGUCGGGGUCGGAUUCGGAGUCGGAAACGGCGCCGGCGAUUGGGCGGUAGUCGGACUCCGGCUCGCCGUCGGAGUCAGAGGCCGAGGAGUGAUCGGGGAGGGAAGCGGAGGCGGGAAGGUGCCCGUUGCCGGGGAUGGACAUGGCUGCAGGCUGCCGCCGGGAGGCGACGGGGAGGAGGAAAGCCAAGUGGGUCUACUAGCGUCAAGCGCUUGGGUUGUUUGGGUCCUACCCUCCGCAAUCCCAUUCUGGUGUUGAUGGGCCGAUGGCGGAUUUUGUACGGAAACGGCGAGCCACGGGCCACGGCUCAACCCAACGUCCUUUCGAAUAAAAAAAUAGGAAAAAAAUUAACAUUACCUUUCUCUAUUUUUGCCAAAGUCUAUUUUUUUUUCUCUAAGCUCUAAAAUCGGAUAAACCACCUCUCUCAACUUUAAAACCAUUCAUUUAACCUCCCUCACCGAUUAUAAGCGGUUUGUAAAGAUAGUUUUGUUUUUUUAUUUCGAUUGAAUCUUUGAGAAAUCAUAGUAAAUCAGAGAAAAAUUAUAAAAUAAAAAACCUAAAUUUAUUGGACUCCACACGAGCAGAUCUAUAUGUGAACAUAUAAUAUGUUAUGUUUUAGUAUAAUAUUUUUUGUCGUACCUUUAGAUCUAUGCUUUGUUGUAAUUAAUGCAUAGCCGUAGUUUCUAUAGUUCAAUUGUGGUGAAAUUUUUAUGAUGGGCUAACUAUUGUAUGCUUAAACUACAGUAAAAAUUUCAUAUUCAUCGGAUCAUAAAUAAUUUAGUUAUCAUCCAAUGACUAUAAAAUUUUUACUGGAGUUCAAGCUAACUAAGUUAUACAUGAUCCAAUAAAUAUGAUUUUUUUACUGUAGUUCAAGCAUACAAUUAUUAGUCUAUCAUAAAAAAUUUAUCACAAUUGAAUUGUAGAAAUUGCAAUUAUAAAUUAAUUCUCUCAUUCAUCAAUUGCACAGGUGUAGAUGUCGGAUGUGAAAAUGCCAAGUACAACUGGUAUAGAUGGGACUGUACAAAUUCUGGAAGAAAAAAAUAUAUAUUACAUUUAUUUGUUCCAACACAUUGAGAGCAUAACCUAUGCAAGCAUGGACCUAUUAUUGAGGUCGAUGGAAGCCAGUAAGAGGCUACGCAGGCUCGCUUACUAGCUUUGAGCUUGGCUGCACGGUCGUGGCUGGGUGGGAUCCACUUAGAGCAAGUAUUAUAGUAGGCUGUAAGCUGGCUAGAUGCUGAGGUGGAGGAGAGAAGAGAGGAGAGAGAAGAGAAGCGGGCUGUAAGCUUACAGCCAGCCUGGGCACAGGAACCAAGAAACUUUGUGAGAGAGACAAGUGGGCCAUGUAUUAAUAGUGAAUAGCUAACUAUUGUAUGGAUGGGCUGGAAGAAGGCUGCAAGGAACCUUACAGCCAGCAAGUGGGCUGUAUUAUUAAACUUGCUCUUAGUCCAUCUCUUUCAACCUGUGGGCGGUGCAUGGAGUCGUGUGCGCAAGUCGAACCACGGAGUCGCAAUCUCGAACAGGGCGAACAAUUGAUUCAUGGAGCUACGCUUAGGCCAUUCUUAAUGGGAGUUUCAUGACACAGUUUCUAACACAUCAAUAUUUUGGAAACAGUGCAUAGGAGUUUCAUGGGGAUGAAACUCUCUCUACUUCCAUAAAACUCUUAUCAUCUCUCUCUUCAUUAAUAUAGCGCCACAUCAGCAUAUUUAAUGUGCAUGAAACUCUAAUGAAACCCCCAUUGAGACUGGCCUUAGCUUGUAGUGUGAGCCUCUACCACUAUCAUAGUGCUAGGGCCAGAGUUUGAGUGAGGCUUCGGCAUCAAUGGCCGAUGGUAGGGUUCAUCUAUGGUGCCCUGGCCACCUGCAAGAGAAGAGCCUCCGGUGUCCAUGGCUGAUGGUGGCGGUCCAUCCGUGGUGACCUAGGCACCUGCGAGAGAGAGAGCCUCUGGCAUCCAUGGCUGAUGGAGAAUUUUUUAUUUUUAACUCAAAUUGAAAACAUAUUUCAAAUUUGAUCCGGUUUCGAAAAUAUUUUUAAGACUAACCCGUUUGGCCCCGCCACCAUACAUGGCGAGUCAAAUGAACUGUACCCCGCCAUGCAUGGCGGCGGGGUACAACUGCCACGUGGCAUGCAGCACCAGGAGCUGCUGACGUGUACCCCACCAUAGAUCAUGGCGGGUUAGGCGUACCCCGCCACCCAUCAUGGCGGGGUAGGACCUUUCACCGUCACUUACUUGCCAUGCAUGUUUAAUUAGUUUUUGUUGGCCUCCAGCUAAUAACUCUUGGAAAAUUCUUGACUGGUACAGAGCUUAUUGCCCAAGAGGUGCAGCUUUAGAUUUGCUGGAAUUCUUAGGCUUGGGCUAAGGCCUUGUUUAGUUUUCAAAAACUUUUAAGAUUCCCCAUCAUAUCGAAUUUUGUGACAUGUAUGAAGCAUUAAAUAUAGAUAAAAAUUAAAAUUAAUUACACAGUUUACCUGUAAAUCGCGAGAUGAAUCUUUUGAUCCUAGUUAGUCUAUAAUUAAAUAAUAAUUAUCAAAUAAAACCGAAAGUGCUACAGUAGCGAAACCCAAAAAUUUUCGUGACCUAAAAAUAAGUGGGAAAUCUGUAAUUAAUCAUUAUACCUUGGGAGGUCGCAUCCGUGCUGCCAUCUCCAGUGCUGGUACAUGACAUCCUUCAGCCUCCAAAAAUUUUCAAGAUUCUUCAUCACAUCAAAUCUUGCGGCAUAUGCAUGGUAUAUUAAAUAUACAUAAAAACAAAAACUAAUUACACAGUAUAUCUGUAAAUCGCGAGACGAAUCUUUUAAGCCUAGUUACUCUAUGAUUGGACAAUAUUUGUCAAAUAAAAACGAAAGUGCUACAAUGUCGAAAUCCAAAUUUUUUUGCUAACAGAACAAGGCCUUCCUUUCAUACUUGUCACAGGCCACCUCGGAGAAGAUGAAGGUGCACUUGGGCCUUUGAAGGGUCAAGAUGGCGGACUAGAGGAGGGGUGAAUAGUCCUUUCUAAAAAUUAUUACGCCAGCUAACCGAAACAAAUGCGGAACUAAAACUAUCGGUCUAGCCAAGACUACACCCCUCUAUCUAAGUUCUCUAGCACCUUGAAAAGAUUCUAAACAAGCAAGCAAGGUGCUACCUUAGCAAAAGCUCACCUAACCAAUGAGCAAGGUCACACAAACCUAUGUCACUAGUACUUUGCAAACCGUGAAAGGCUCCUACACAAACUAGUGAGGCAAAGCGCACAAAGCCUAAGCUCACUAGCAAGCUCAAUAACAAGGCAACCAAUGCCAAAUUAGAGAGCGCAAAUUACUUAGCUACACAAACUAAGCAAUGUGACUAACAAGGUUACACAAACCAAAUUAGUCACGCAAGGGAACUACUUCUAGCUACACAAGCAAGAAGGUAACUAGCAAGCUACACAAGCUAACUAAUUACAAGAGCAACUACACAAGCACAAGUAUAUGAAUGUAAGAAUAAGCUUGUGUUAGGGACAUGAAAACCAACGGGAAGAACAAUGUUGACACGAUGAUUUUCUCCCGAGGUUCACUUGGUUGCCACCAAGCUACGUCCCCGUUGAGACAAGCUCCAAGGUUGCCGCCGGUCCUCUUGCUAGUGGUGACCCACAAGUCACACUCUCCCACGUGGAGUGAUUACCACAAGCUCUAGCACUUGACCCGGCCUAAACACUUGUCGCUCUUCACGUCUCGCUCAACUAGAGUUGCUCUUCGCGAUCCCCGCGGGGUGAGCACCGUACCCCUCACAAUCUCUUCUCCGGAGCACCGCACAAUCUCCUUGCGUGCUUCGACGGAGUCACAAGCCACCAAGCCGUCUAGGAGGUGGCAACCUCCAAGAGUAACAAGCACCACUGGCUUGCAACACGAACAUCUAGUGCCACUCGAUGCAAUCUCUCAAUGCAACGCACUAGAAUCGCUCACGCACACAAUCGGAUGAUCACUAUCAAGUAUAUGUGAGUUAGAGGCUUCACUAGCACUCCCCAAGCAUGGACACUAAGUCCCAAAGGUGCUCAACACUUGCCAAGGCCGGCCACCACUUCUAUUUAUAGCUCCAAAGGCUAAACUAGUUGUUGCCCCUUCACUGGCAAAACACGAGGGCACCGGACGCUUACAGAGAGCCACCGGACGCUCAACUCCCAGCGUCCGGUGCUCAGGCGUCAGCCACGUGUCACUAGCCGUUUGAACACGACCGUUGCCGUCAACGGCUACUGUGCACGCGCGCCUGCACAGCACCACCAGACGCUCUACUGCGUCACACCGGACGCGUCCGGUGCACACCGGACCCGUGCGCAGAGAGCUCCGCAAACUUGCAGGAUCACCGGACGCAAGCCACCGGACGCACCCUGAGUGUCCGGUGCUCUUGAGUCAGAAACACCUCGCACGCACUCGCUGACGUCACGCACUACCGGACGCUCGAAGAGUAACCGCCCAGCGUCCGGUGCCAGCGUCCGGUGCGCUCUGCACACCUGAGCCAGACUGACACCACACCGGACGCUCUGGACCAGCGUUCGGUGCUGCCAACACCAGCGUCCGGUGAGUGCCGCAACUUCUCCAAAAUUCCCACCGACGCAAUAGAAAAUAUGCACUUAAUUUUCUCAAAAGCGUCGAAUCCCACACCCCUCUCAACCCUAGGAACUCCACCUCCUUUGCAAAUGUGCCAACACCACCAAGUGUACACCACCAUGUGCAAGUGUGUUAGCAUUUUCACAAACACUUUUCCAAAGGAGUUAGCCUCUCAAACUUGCCACGCCACUCGAUCCUAACACGUAUGCAAAGUUAGGUCACUCAAGUGGCACUAGAUGACCGAUAUGCAAACAAGUUUGCUCCUCUUGACAGUAAACUUCUCUACUCACCUAUGACCGGUGAAAUGGAAAAACCCUAGGUUAUACCUUUGCCUUGCGCUUUCCAUUCCAUCUCCUCCGAUGUUGAUGCAACACAUGCACCAAUCAAUCACCAAAUGAUAUGAUCUACUUCAUAUCACCAUGUGACCAUAUUGGUUCAUCGAUCUUGACCUCACUUGCUCUUCACCAUUGCCUUGGUCUAUCGGCGCCAAGUCUUGCUCAAGCUUCACCGUCACACGCGGUCUCUCGCUUCAAAGCCUCCGACUUGCCCUUCACUCUUGCAACCGGUCCAUCGAGCCAAGCCUCAUCUUGAUCUUCUCCACCUUGGGCACAUGACUCCAUGUCGUGUCUCAUAUGCAAUAAGCUCCUCCAUUAUCACAUAAUCACCUGUGAAUUAAUCUCCUGUGUAUCUCACAUAAACACUAUUAGUCCACCUAAGUUGUCACUCAAUUACCAAAACCAAACAAGGACCUUUCAGCCUUGUUUACUUUGCAAAAAUUUUUAGUUUAGGCCACUGUAGCAUUUUCGUUUGUUUGUGGUAAAUAUUGUCCAAUUAUAGACUAACUAGUCUCAAAAGAUUCAUCUCACGAUUUAUAGAUAAACUGUGUAAUUAGUUUUUGUUUUUGAUUAUAUUUAACGCUUCAUACAUGUGCCGCAAGAUUCGAUGUGACGAGAAAUUUUGAAAAGUUUUUAGUUUUUUUGGGUGAAAUAAGGCCCAAGCCCGUUGUACAAUGCCCGGGAGACGUUGUCGUACACCCACCGCUCACUCAUCAUUGAUGUGUCUGGCCAUACCCUGUCAUGAUGGGAGGCGGGGUACGCCUAACCCGCCAUGAUCCAUGGCGGGGUACACAUCAGCAACCCCUGGUGCUGUAUGCCACGUGGUAGCUGUACCCCGCCGCCAUGCAUGGUGGGAUACAGUUCAUUUGUUCCACCAUGCAUGGUGGCGGGGCCAAACGGGUUAGUGUUAAAAAUAUUUUCGAAACCAAGUCAAAUUUGAAAUAUGUUUUGAAUUUAGGCAAAAAAUAAAAAAAUUCCCUGAUGGAGAGGGUCCAUCCGUGGUGACCUGAGCACCUGCGAGAGAGAGAGAGAGAGAGAGAGAGAGAGUCUGUGUGUCCAUGGCCGAUGGCAGGGGUCCAUCUACCAAUCUGCGGGGCCUGGGUACCUUAGAGAGAGCGAGGCUCCGACGAUGCCAAUGGCUCAAGGUUGGGUCCAUCUGUGGCGACCUGGGCACUUCGAGAGACACGGCUGGUGUCUGCGUGCUUAGAAUAGGAAAAAAAAAUGGUGAGAACCAUCCCUACAUAAACAUGGUGACGAUGUGUGGCUGACAUGUUGUCUAUAAGGUAUCUGAUUUACCAUCAUAUGUUAAAAAUAGUAUCGCGCGCGUUAUGGUAGAAAUGGUCCUCACUAAUUUUUUUUAACCCCUAAAAAUUGGUUGCCGUGCUCAGUUUUUGCAUUACCCGAUCGAUCAAAAUUGAAUCGGGACUAGAGAAAAGCAGAUGACGUGGCAAAAUGAGGUGCCGGGGGGAUCAUGGGGCAAAAUUCGUAUAGUACUAAGAGGAGAGAUGAGUCGACCACUGAUUCUCGCUGAGAUCCUUGCUUUUGUACGUCUUUGUCGAUUCUUGAUCAUGUGACUAACUCUGCGCUGAAGCGAAACGUUGGCCGCCCAUCAUCGUCCGUGAAGAUGCCAGGCCCUCAUGUAUCCGCGAUUCGGGAUUUGAAAGAGACAUGAAUCCAGUCAGCAAAGCAUUACGGUGACAGCAGGACAACACUUGGGCAGAACAGAAAGAGACCAACACCACCAAGACAAUUGUGAUUAACCGUGCAUUUUAUUGUUUCAUCAAUUCCAUCUUCUCUUAUUCGUUCUGGCAGCAGGACCCCACGAGUGGCCCCCACGUGAAGAGCACACAUAUGGCAUGGCGCGGUGGUGGCAGGUGGUGCUAUGAACACGACACACUAAUAACGAGACGAGAGAAAUUAAAGCUACACGAUCGAAGGGAAUUCAUUCAUUCAACAACAAGGCAAAGGAAAGUCCCAAAUUAAAGAAACCCCGUCCGUCCGUCCCAGAUAAAGACGCUGCUUGCUGCUGGCGUCGAUCGAUCACUCGAUCAGGCGUCCACGACCUCGUCGUCCUUGGACGCAAUCACGAACUCCUCGCGCAACGCCGGCGACACCUUGGGGAUGGUCCCGUCCACGGCGUUGGGCCUUCCCAGCGCCUUCAGCGCCAGGUGCGCCGCCUUCUGGCCGGAGAUCAUCAUGGCGCCGAACGUCGGGCCCUGCAACCAAAUCAUGCAUGCAUAUCAAUUCCUGUUUCUUCAGUGAUGAGUAACGCAAUAUAUAUAUAAAACAGGCCGGAGUAUCCGUCACUGACCAUCCUCGGCGCGCCGUCAAUCUCGGCGACCUCCAUUCCGGUGACGAUCAUGCCUGGCACGACCUCGCGCGUGAGGCGCACGAUGGCGUCCUCAGCGGCGUUCAUGUCGAGCGCCUUCAUCCCUGGCACGGCGGCGAUCAUGCCGAUGUCCUGGAGCCUCUUGACUCCCGUGGCCCCGAACGGCCCGUCGUGGCCGCAGGAGCUGACCACCACCUUGGCCUCCAUCACGUUGGGGUCCAUGCACGACUGCGUGUCGUGGUUCAUGGACACGAGCGCCCAGUUGGUGACCACGCCGCCGACGCGCCCUCCCUUGACGAUGAGGUCCUCGACGGCGACGGCGUUGAAGAGCUUCACGUUGGGCCGCGCCAGGACGGCGCUCAUGACGGUGGAGGUGAAGAGCGCGGCGUGCUUGACCACCACGUAGUCGUCGGCGGCCUCGUCGUAGGCGACGCCGAGCUCGUCGAGGAACAGGUGCGCCGGCUUGCGCACCACCAUGGCCGAGAACAGCUGCCCGCCCAGCCACGCGCCGCCGCCCGGGGACACCGACUGCUCCACGAUGGCGACGCGCACCGUGGGGUCCUUGGAGAGCUCGUACGCGCAGGAGAGGCCCGCGGACCCGGCGCCCACGAUCACCACGUCGGUGUCGGCGUGGGUGAUCAUGUCCGUCAUGUAGCGGCGGGUCAUCUCGCGGGAGACGAUCGACUCCUUGAUGGGGCUGAACUUGAAGGACGUCAGGUCGUAGGGAGGGUUGGAGGAGGAGAUGGACGCGGAGAUGGCGGCCGUGCGUGGGGCGCCGCCGGUGGACACGACGACGGACGACGGGGCGCGCGUGGCAGACGGGAGACGGGAGCCAGCGAAGGAGGACUUGAGGAGGCUAGACGCCGCGGUGGUGGCCAUGGCUAGCAAGCUCUUGUUGGUUUCUUGCUGCAGCAG